Molecule: unclassified non-coding RNA, 207 nt
Filed under: Panaeolus subbalteatus
Lineage: Eukaryota; Fungi; Basidiomycota; Agaricomycetes; Agaricales
Description: partial internal transcribed spacer 2
Source: RNAcentral
AAUUCUCAACCUCAACACUUUUGUGAUUGAUGGCUUGGAUGUGGAGGUUUUUCUGCAGGCUGUUAAAGUCUGCUCCUCUCAAAUGAAUUAGUGGGUGCCCCGCGCAAACCUAUCUAUUGGUGUGAUAAUUAUCUACGCCGUGGAUUAUAGGAUUGCUGUAAAAAGGUGUUUGCCCUGCUUCUAACUGUCCUCUGGACAACUUGAACC